ACGAAGGGGGCUAGCGUUGCUCGGAAUCACUGGGCGUAAAGCGCACGUAGGCGGCUUCUUAAGUCAGGGGUGAAAUCCUGGAGCUCAACUCCAGAACUGCCUUUGAUACUGAGGAGCUCGAGUCCGGGAGAGGUGAGUGGAACUGCGAGUGUAGAGGUGAAAUUCGUAGAUAUUCGCAAGAACACCAGUGGCGAAGGCGGCUCACUGGGCCGACACUGACGCUGAGGCGCGAAAGCUAGGGGAGCGAACGGGA
Molecule: ribosomal RNA, 253 nt
Filed under: uncultured prokaryote
Description: partial 16S ribosomal RNA
Rfam family: Bacterial small subunit ribosomal RNA
Source: RNAcentral